RNAcentral lists this long non-coding RNA (400 nucleotides) under Pogona vitticeps (central bearded dragon). Its description in RNAcentral is "lncRNA (ENSPVIG00000001880.1)". Lineage: Eukaryota; Metazoa; Chordata; Lepidosauria; Squamata; Agamidae. The record is from RNAcentral.
UAGCAAGGGAAGAUGGGAUAGCGUGCCUAAUACAGAGCUGCAAAAUAAGUUGCAAGUCACAGGCAGAGACUCUUAAUAAUAGACUCUUGCAUGGGCAAAGGUUUGGACUUUUGCACUUGUUUUGCUCAGACAAGAGGGAAGUGAACUAGAACAAGAAGCCCAAGUAUAACUAAAACUGGAGAAAGCAGGCUUAAGGAAGAGGGAAGCAGCCAACAUCUGUGACCAGCCAGAGCCAAUUGAGACGCUGGGGAACUUGGAGGACACAAUGUGCUGCUAAAUUGGCACAAACCCCUAAGAGUACAAAGGUUUCUGGUAUCAAUUUAUCACUGCAGCUGAGAUCGGGGUAAGAGGAAAGAGUCACAGCAUGACUGAUUUUUCAAAUAGACCAAAUGAGACAUGU